Molecule: ribosomal RNA, 265 nt
Filed under: uncultured archaeon
Lineage: Archaea
Description: partial 16S ribosomal RNA
Rfam family: Archaeal small subunit ribosomal RNA
Source: RNAcentral
AGUCACUGACAUUAGAUACCCCCUGUAGUCCAGGGUGUAAACGCUGCAGACUUGGUGUUGGAGGCCCUUUGGGGGCAUUCAGUGCCGGAGAGAAGUUGUUAAGUCUGCUACUUGGGAGUACGUCCGCAAGGAUGAAACUUAAAGGAAUUGGCGGGGGAGCACCGCAACGGGAGGAGCGUGCGGUUUAAUUGGAUUCAACACCGUAAAACUCACCAGGGAAGACUGUUACAUGAAGGCCGAGAUGAAGACUCUGCUAGAUUUUCAG